Molecule: long non-coding RNA, 2747 nt
Filed under: Pan troglodytes (chimpanzee)
Lineage: Eukaryota; Metazoa; Chordata; Mammalia; Primates; Hominidae
Description: long non-coding RNA NONPTRT015075
Source: RNAcentral
CAAAUUAAGCAGUUUGCUACCGCCACCACUAAAUCUGCAUAGCAGAGAGCCAAUCCUGCUCCCUUUGCUAUUUGGCAGCCCAUUCAUGCACUGAAAUCCCCACUGUGAUAUGUACCUAAUCAACUAGCUCAGUAUUCUAAUUUUUGCUAGGAUGUCUGCCUCCAUGUUUCUGGGAGGUGAAUCUGACCAGUGUGCUGAAGCAAUUAGGUCCACAGUGGGUUCCUGUAGACUUUUCCAAAUGUCUUUCCACAUAUCAGCUCCCCAUAAGGAUUUUUAAAUUAUAUACCAAUCAUCUCCGGCCCUUUGGGCAAGCCAAAUUGUAAGACCCUUAAGUACUGCCAGACUGUCUGUACAGAGAACUAUAGGUGGUGGCUCACGGGUACAAACCAACCAUGCAGCUUGGAGUUCUGCCCAUUGACUGCUCUGUUGCAUUCCCAUCUCAAACCAGAUACUGUCUGUGGUUGUGCAGCUACUACUGUCCAUACACAGGGUUACCUUGGCUCAAUGCAUCUAAGUACCAAGCAUUAUCAGGAAUGAGGGCCAUGCCUUCAUGUACCAUUGGAGACAUCUCCUGUGAGGGCUCCACAAUAGGGGCAGCACUGGACUCAUAAUGUACUGGCCCUAAGAUAGCAUGCAGUUCAUCUCGUAAGGGAUGCAUGGAGAAGGCACUAUGUUGUUGCAUGUAUGCAUGGCACUUUUGUAAAGUGGAAACUUGGGCAAUAGCUGAUACAGGCCUGGCAAACACUCCUACCCAGUCCUUGAUAGGAGACCUGUUCUCCCUGGUACCAGGAAAGCAGCAGUUAUCGAUUCAACUUGUGGCAAGACCUUCUAUAUCCCCAGGACCUGUUAUUCAACUGGGAAAUAGCAGGUUUCAGUACCCUUCCAUUAAUUGUGACUAAAAUUCUAAAGGAACUGCUUCCCUAUGCUGGACUUUAUAUUUUCAUCAUCCAAAAUUAUAGUUUAGUUUUACCUUUAAAAAUAUGUUUUUUGUUCUCAUUUGUUCCAUAGGUUUCUCCUUGAAAUUUAUAUUGUAUGGUAAGGUUUCCUAUUGUUUGCAUUUUGUGGAUUGCACGCCAAGGUGUGGUUUAAUGUAUUUCUAUUACCUGUAUUUUCUAUAAAUUGGUAGUUUGGUAUAGAGGUUUGUGUACAUACAGGGUUUUUUUUUUCUGUAAGUAUUGAUGGUUCUGUAAAAGGAAAAUAAAAUCUUGGGGCCCCAAAAUUACUAAGCUAAAGGGAAAAGUCAAGCUGGGAACUGCGUAGGCCUCCCAUCUGUUCAAAGUCGCCCCUCUGCUCACUGAGAUAAACACAUGUCUGAUUGCCUCAUUUGGAAAGGCUAAUUGGAAACUCAAAAGAAUGCAACCAUUUGUCUCUCAUCUAUCUGUGACCUGGAAGCCCCCUCCUUGCUUCGAGUUGUCCCGCCUUUCCAGACGGAAUCAAUCUUUAGCUUACAUAUGUUGAUCACUGUCUCAUGUCCCCUUAAAAUGUAUAAAACCAAGUUGUGCUCUGACCACCAAAGUUGUGCUGAGAAGUGACACCAAAGAACAUGGUGGCAUAAGAACUCCAAGGACCCCCUCCCCUCCACAGCGGCAAUGUGCUUGUUGAAACACCAGUAUAAAAAAACUCGAUGAGAGCUGUGAUUGGAUUUAGUGUUGAUAUAUUUUUUGUAAAUUGUGGUAAAACAUGCAUACUAUAUAAUUUACCUUCUAACCAUUUUUUCAGUGUACAAUUUGGUGGCAUUAAGCACAUUUACAGUGUUGUGUAACCACCGCCAAUAUCCAUUUCCAGAACAUUUUCAUCAUCCCAAACAGAAACUGUACCCAUUAAACCAUAACUGCCCAUUCUCCCUACCCCCAGCCCCUGGUAAUCUCUAUUCUAUUUUCUGUUUCUAUGAAUUUGCUUAUUCUAGCUACUUUAUAUAAGUAAAAUAUCAUAUUUGUUUUUAUUUCUGGCUUAUUUCACUUAUAGUGUUUUCAAGGCUCAUCCAAUUAGAAUUUCAUUCACUUUUAAGGCUGAAUAAUAUUCCAUGCUUAUGUGCACCGUGGGUUGUUUAUCCAGUCAUCCUCUGAUGGACACUCGGUUGCUUCCACCUUUUGGAUAUUGGGUAUAGUGCUGCUAUGGGCCUGAGUGCACACAUAUCUGGCCUCAUUUGGCCACAGGCCCAGUGUCAACACCAGGGGGCGCCACAGACCAUGAAGGCGCCCACAGACCAUGAAGGCACCGUGCAGCUGGGAUUGUUUGUGGUCGGCUACUGGGUCCCUGACUUAACCAGGGGAGCCAAGACCCUGCAGCCAAGUGGCCUGGAUUCAACCUGCAGCUCAGGUCUUACUGACACUUCUCCCCCUGGUGCCUCAGUUUCUUAAUCUGUGAAAUGGUGAGGACAUUACAGCAUUUACCUCUGGGGCAGGUUUCUCAACAGCAGCACUAUUAACAAUUUGGGACAGAGAAUCUUGUGGAGUGGUCUGUCCUGUGCAUUGUGGGAGGUUUGCCAGCAGCACCCCAUUCACCCCCUCCCACCAAUCCCCAUGUGACAACCGAAAAUGUCCCAGGAUUUUUAGGUCUCCCUUGGGUCUAGAAGCUGCACUUAGGCAUUUUCCCACCUGACACUUGAGUUCAUCUCUGCUUUGGUCAACAUAAGGCCACUUUAAAAAAAUGUUGUUUCUUUAAAGAUUCUAACCAUCUUUUUUUUUUUUUUUUUAAUUUUAUUUUAUUUUUAUUGAUCAUUCUUGGGUGUUUCUCACAGAGGGGGA